Molecule: ribosomal RNA, 330 nt
Filed under: uncultured bacterium
Lineage: Bacteria
Description: bacterial SSU rRNA
Rfam family: Bacterial small subunit ribosomal RNA
Source: RNAcentral
CGCGUAGGCGGAUACUUAAGUUAGAGGUGAAAGCCCAGGGCUCAACCCUGGAACAGCCUUUAAUACUGGGUAUCUUGAGUUCGGGAGAGGUGAGUGGAACUCCGAGUGUAGAGGUGAAAUUCGUAGAUAUUCGGAAGAACACCAGUGGCGAAGGCGACUCACUGGCCCGAUACUGACGCUGAGGCGCGAAAGCGUGGGGAGCAAACAGGAUUAGAUACCCUGGUAGUCCACGCUGUAAACGAUGAGUGCUAGUUGUCGGCAUGCAUGCAUGUCGGUGACGCAGCUAACGCAUUAAGCACUCCGCCUGGGGAGUACGGUCGCAAGAUUAAA